Molecule: ribosomal RNA, 793 nt
Filed under: uncultured Janthinobacterium sp.
Lineage: Bacteria; Pseudomonadati; Pseudomonadota; Betaproteobacteria; Burkholderiales; Oxalobacteraceae
Description: bacterial SSU rRNA
Rfam family: Bacterial small subunit ribosomal RNA
Source: RNAcentral
CAGCGCGGGGCAACCUGGCGGCGAGUGGCGAACGGGUGAGUAAUAUAUCGGAACGUACCCUGGAGUGGGGGAUAACGUAGCGAAAGUUACGCUAAUACCGCAUACGAUCUAAGGAUGAAAGUGGGGGAUCGCAAGACCUCAUGCUCCUGGAGCGGCCGAUAUCUGAUUAGCUAGUUGGUGGGGUAAAGGCCUACCAAGGCAUCGAUCAGUAGCUGGUCUGAGAGGACGACCAGCCACACUGGAACUGAGACACGGUCCAGACUCCUACGGGAGGCAGCAGUGGGGAAUUUUGGACAAUGGGCGCAAGCCUGAUCCAGCAAUGCCGCGUGAGUGAAGAAGGCCUUCGGGUUGUAAAGCUCUUUUGUCAGGGAAGAAACGGUGAGGGCUAAUAUCCCUUGCUAAUGACGGUACCUGAAGAAUAAGCACCGGCUAACUACGUGCCAGCAGCCGCGGUAAUACGUAGGGUGCAAGCGUUAAUCGGAAUUACUGGGCGUAAAGCGUGCGCAGGCGGUUUUGUAAGUCUGUCGUGAAAUCCCCGGGCUCAACCUGGGAAUUGCGAUGGAGACUGCAAGGCUAGAAUCUGGCAGAGGGGGGUAGAAUUCCACGUGUAGCAGUGAAAUGCGUAGAGAUGUGGAGGAACACCGAUGGCGAAGGCAGCCCCCUGGGUCAAGAUUGACGCUCAUGCACGAAAGCGUGGGGAGCAAACAGGAUUAGAUACCCUGGUAGUCCACGCCCUAAACGAUGUCUACUAGUUGUCGGGUUUUAAUUAACUUGGUAACGCAGCUAACGCGUG